GGGUCAAGUUUUGGGGUGGUAUCUUCGUUGCCGUUUGGGAAGAUAUUUUGAGGAAGGAGGUUUUAGCUUGGGGAACAAGCUGCCGGAAGAGGAGUUUUUUUUUUUUGAGGAGAGGUUUUGGCCUGGGGAACAAAGGUUCAUCUUUUUGGGAUGGGUGUUGCUAAGGGGGAAAUAGCACAGAAUGUGAGCAUUGGGGAUUUUAUUAUGUUCUUGUGGAAUCUGAGCUCGUUUGCCUCCAUUUUAGGCUUGGUUUCUAGCUUGGUUUUUAACCUGUUUUCUGGGCUCUAUUUUUGGUAUUCAUGUCUUGAUUCUUCUUUGAAACUUGAUUGAGAUCCAUUUUCAACCUAUCCCUUCACCUAAGCGCAUGGAUGCAAGUAUGAAAUGUAGCUUGUGGGGAUUCGUUUCCCCUCCUGCACCUUGUGCUCUGUUUUGGCUAACUUCCCUUGUUCCUGGUAUCCAUUCAUGGCGUGCACCUGAUUGUUCAUCUCCGCCUGAAGAAGCUAUAUAAGAGUUUUUAGUGGGUCAUUCUGAGUCCAUUCAACCUCAGGGUGCUCUUGCUGUUGGGAAUCUCCAGUUUUUUGGUUCAUUUAAUGGCCUCUGAAUAGUCAACAGUGUUGAUAGGACCAUUGUGGUAUUGGAUGGCAGUUUGGUGGUAGUGAAUGGAAGCUUUGUGGAAGAAAUGACAUGUAAUCAAAGGAGACUAAAACAGGGAUGUUAAUUAGAUUGUGAUUAUGCA
Long non-coding RNA from Vitis riparia (riverbank grape), 736 nucleotides. RefSeq lists it as uncharacterized. The record is from RefSeq and is a predicted model, not a curated record. NCBI's taxonomy places the organism in Eukaryota, Viridiplantae, Streptophyta, Magnoliopsida, Vitales, Vitaceae. The transcript is spliced from 2 exons.